Molecule: ribosomal RNA, 505 nt
Filed under: uncultured Geobacter sp.
Lineage: Bacteria; Pseudomonadati; Thermodesulfobacteriota; Desulfuromonadia; Geobacterales; Geobacteraceae
Description: bacterial SSU rRNA
Rfam family: Bacterial small subunit ribosomal RNA
Source: RNAcentral
ACUCCUACGGGAGGCAGCAGUGGGGAAUUUUGCGCAAUGGGGGAAACCCUGACGCAGCAACGCCGCGUGAGUGAUGAAGGCCUUCGGGUCGUAAAGCUCUGUCAGAGGGAAAGAAAUGUAUUAUGGCUAAUAUCCAUGAUACUUGACGGUACCCUCAAAGGAAGCACCGGCUAACUCCGUGCCAGCAGCCGCGGUAAUACGGAGGGUGCGAGCGUUGUUCGGAAUUAUUGGGCGUAAAGCGCGUGUAGGCGGUCUUUUAAGUCUGAUGUGAAAGCCCCGGGCUCAACCUGGGAAGUGCAUUGGAAACUGGAAGACUUGAGUACGGGAGAGGGCAGUGGAAUUCCUAGUGUAGGAGUGAAAUCCGUAGAUAUUAGGAGGAACACCGGUGGCGAAGGCGGCUGCCUGGACCGAUACUGACGCUGAGACGCGAAAGCGUGGGGAGCAAACAGGAUUAGAUACCCUGGUAGUCCACGCCGUAAACGAUGAGAACUAGGUGUUGCGGGUA